GUAGGGAAUAUUGGGCAAUGGUCGGAAGACUGACCCAGCCAUGCCGCGUGCAGGAAGACGGCCCUCUGGGUUGUAAACUGCUUUUAUCUGGGAAGAAAAAGGCCAUGCGUGGCAAAUUGCCGGUACCAGAUGAAUAAGCACCGGCUAACUCCGUGCCAGCAGCCGCGGUAAUAUGGAGGGUGCGAGCGUUGUCCGGAUUUAUUGGGUUUAAAGGGUGCGUAGGCGGCUGAUUAAGUCAGCGGUGAAAGACUUCGGCUUAACCGGAGCAGUGCGUUGGAUACUGGUUGGCUUGAGUGUCGGAGGGGUACAUGGAAUUGAUGGUGUAGCGGUGAAAUGCAUAGAUACCAUCAGGAACACCGAUAGCGAAGGCAUUGUACUGGCCGACAACUGACGCUGAUGCACGAAAGUGUGGGGAUCGAACAGGAUUAGAUACCCUUGUAGUCC
RNAcentral lists this ribosomal RNA (444 nucleotides) under uncultured bacterium. Its description in RNAcentral is "partial 16S ribosomal RNA". It matches the Rfam family "Bacterial small subunit ribosomal RNA", at positions 354 to 796 of the family's 1533-position model. The record is from RNAcentral.